GUUUUGUAUAUAAGAAGGAAAUGCAACGUUCACCAAGAUACUAAACAUCAAGAGAAAUACAAGCUUGUUUCUGAGGAGAUCACAAGAGCAAAAUGUGGUUGCUAUUAACUGUGGCAAGUUUGAUAUCUGCACUUGGAACCACACCAUGCUUACUUUGGAAAAUUACAUCCUAUAAGCCCUGAAGUGACCAUGAAUAGUAGUCAGAUGAUCUCCUACUGGGGUUACCCAAGUGAAGAGUAUGAUGUCAUAAUGGAAGAUGGUUAUAUCCUUGGGAUCAACAGAAUUCCUUAUGAGAAGAAAAAUUCAGAGAAUAUAGGCCAGAGACCUGUUGUAUUUCUGCAACACAGUUUGUUCACAUCAGCCACAAACUGGAUCUCCAAUUUGCCCCAAAACAGCCUGGCCUUCAUUCUGGAAGAUGCGGGCUAGGACGUGUGGCUGCCGAACAGCAGGGGGAACACCUGGGC
This is a long non-coding RNA of Mustela lutreola (European mink), 464 nucleotides long. RefSeq lists it as uncharacterized. The record is from RefSeq and is a predicted model, not a curated record. NCBI's taxonomy places the organism in Eukaryota, Metazoa, Chordata, Mammalia, Carnivora, Mustelidae. The transcript has 4 exons.